This 254-nucleotide ribosomal RNA is filed under the name uncultured bacterium. RNAcentral describes it as "partial 16S ribosomal RNA". It matches the Rfam family "Bacterial small subunit ribosomal RNA", at positions 524 to 776 of the family's 1533-position model. The record is from RNAcentral.
UACGGGGGGAGCAAGCGUUGUUCGGAUUUACUGGGCGUAAAGGGCGCGUAGGCGGUCGUGACAAGUCACUUGUGAAAUCUCCGGGCUUAACUCGGAACGGUCAAGUGAUACUGUCGUGCUAGAGUGCGGAAGGGGCUACUGGAAUUCUCGGUGUAGCGGUGAAAUGCGUAGAUAUCGAGAGGAACACCUGCGGCGAAGGCGGGUAGCUGGGCCGACACUGACGCUGAUGCGCGAAAGCGUGGGGAGCAAACAGG